CGCAGAGCAUCCUCGCCAUCUGGGCGGUUCAGGUGGUGCUCAUGGGCUUCAUCGAGGGUUACCGCGUUGGUGGCGGCCCCCUCGGCGAGGGCCUCGACAUCAUCUACCCAGGCGGCGCCUUCGACCCACUUGGCCUCGCCGACGACCCCGACACCGCAGCUGAGCUCAAGGUCAAGGAGCUCAAGAACGGCCGCCUCGCCAUGUUCUCCAUGUUCGGCUUCUUCGUGCAGGCCAUCGUCACCGGAAAGGGGCCCGUAGAGAACCUCUUCGACCACGUCGCCGACCCGGUCAACAACAACGCGUGGGCCUUCGCCACCAACUUCGCCCCCGGAAGCUAAAUGUGUUAAGCCAUCUGUCCGUCCAUCGGACGAGAUAUGCAUGUGUACUUGUACGUCGUGGAUCAACGUGUAGCUGCACGUACUUUGUGUGUUUAUUUGUACCAUGAUCGAGCGAGCGAGAUGACCUCUCGCUGGCUGCGCGCAAUGUAAAUUAAUUAAGCACGAGAUGCACGAGCAAAUGGAUGGAAGAAUCGUGUAUCAUUAGUACAUUACUCGAGAUCAUCAACUGGCAUGGCGUAUAUGGUACUUCAAGCUCAUGAAACGGGACAUUCGCAACGGCAUACGGAGAUCCAACGGGCCAACUAUACAACUCUGUCUUUGUGGCUAUUCUUGGUUCAGAAACCCAGUUUCUCUCGUUUGAAAUCCUUUUCAGAUCGUAACUUUGAAACUCAUGCAAGCAUGAACAUGAAUACACAGAUUUUGCAAUGCAGAACUUGCAUCUUUUCUUCAUGGGAAAAUUUUAUUUUUGCCGCUCUAGAUUUUGCCAAUUUUCCUUAUGUCACUCUAGAUUUCGACAUUUCACUUUUGCAACUCUGGAAAACCGGCCUCGCCCUGAGCGCGCCCUCGCCCCCCGCACCUGACCGUCGUGCGCCACUCCGGCGCCGGCGUCCACCGCGCUCUUGCGCCCCGGCUUGUGCCACUCCGGCCAUUCCGGCCACCUCUUCCCCCUCUCCGGUCCCGUCUUCCUCCCUGGCGCGUCGCUCGCCGCAGCCAUGACCUCCAGUCCCAGAUCUGGCUCGUCCAUGGCCAGCCGGAGGGUGAGAGGCCGAUCGUCUCUGGGCUGGGGCUCUCGGAGGGCUCGGCGGAGUCUGACCCCCAGCCAGCGGUGGAGUCGGCGCCGCGCCUGGUGGCCCCUGCUGCGGCCUGGGAGCGGCCGCCUCCGUCCAAGAAGGAGCUCUGGCGGCUUCGGCAUGGCCAGGGGACGCAGGCGGGCUCUUCCAGGGCCAGGCAGGGUGGACCGCCGCCGCCGCGUGUGGAGGUGAUCCCGGAGCUGCAGGACAAGUGCUUCAGGUGCCUGGAAAACGGCCACUUCCGGCAUGACUGCACCAACCAGGAGGUGUGUUUCCGGUGCAGGCUGCCUGGACAUGGAUCCCGCGACUGCAAGCGACCGAGGAGUCCUUCCUCUGCUGAUGCGCGAGGCUAUCGCCAAGGUGGCUCGCCGCACCUCUCCGCGGGUGAGCCCGGAUCCCCCGGUGGCCCGCGUGGCCGCCUCGCCUCCGCCGCAGCUCUCCUACUCGCUGCCGAGGGCGGCCGAGGCGGCUUGGCCACGGCUGGCACCCCCCAGGCUCCAGGUGGCCAUGGAGGCGGACGAAGGCGAGUCCGAGAUCUGUGUGGUUUUCGGCGUUCGUAGUCCACAGAGGAGCUGGAGCGUCGGCUGCGCUUCGCCAUGGUCGCCUACGUGGGCGGUGCUCGGAGAAGGCUGGCGCCGCAGCGCGUGCUCGAGAUCCUGGCGGGCAAGCUCGACAUCACGGAUGAUCAGGUCUCGGUGCACCCGUACAGGCCAGAGGAUUUCCUGGUAGUUUUCGCCUCGGCGGCGAUCAGGAACAGAGUCGCGGCGUGUCCGGAGGUGGAGUUCCAGGGAGAUAGGCUGUACUUCAGACCGUGGAACCGGCAGUCACAGGCAGUGCACUCGAUCUUGGGAUCUAAGGUUUGGAUCGUCAUGGAGGGGAUCCCGCCCCAUGCUUGGGAGAGGGAGACGGCGGAGGACCUUCUAGGCACGGCGUGCAAGGUGGACGCGGUGGCGCCGGAAACUAGCUCAAGGUCAGAUCUUUCGGCAUUCAGGCUCACGGCGUGGACUGCUAAUCCAGAGGCGAUCCCUUCCCUUCGCUGGCUCGCCAUCCCGGAGCCUGGCUCGGAGAUCCCUCCGCCGCUGUUGCAGUACAAGGUUCUCAUACACGUCGACGCAGUUGCAGACUUCAUAGAAGCUGGGGAGCCUUGGUUCUUGGGCGGCUCCUCCGAUAGUGGUCAGAGCGGUCUGCCAGGCUCGCCGGAUGGGUUCAGUGACGAUGGAGGCGGCGCCAGGCCGCGGCAGCGAGUUUGGCAGUUUUGUGUGAGAGAUGCGCGCGGCGGCGAGCUUGGGCGCGAGGGAAACGGCGGCGGCCAUGGUGGCUCAACGAGGAGCGCAGAGAGGACAGACUGGCGCCUGCCCCCGAUGGCCCCCACCCCGGUCGUGUCGCAUGGCGGGCCCACGAUGAGGGUGCAGGAUAGGGUGACAGCCAGGAAGUCAGCUUUUGACUGUCUUUCGGGUCAGCAGCUGGGUGGGGACGCACGAGAGAAGGUUCCCGAGACUAGUUUGAACAGUGGUGGCGCGUUUUUGACCGGGUAGGCGGAUGGAGCACAAGUGUUACCGUUGGGAGAACGUGGGGUGACCCUGGUUGUUGAGGGUGCGGAUCCCCAGACCGACAGGAUCGCGGGGACUGGACAGCCAGCUCUCCUGGCCCCGUCCCCGACCCGCAUGACAACGGUUACGUCGAUGGAUGCGUCAAGGAGCUGCGCGCCAAUGGGGACUCUUCUGCCACGCGCUGGAGAGGACGAGGCAGACCCCACGGGGACUGGGAGGCUGGACCCACCGGAGAUUCUCACUGAUCGCUCCGUCCAGGGGGGCAGACUGCAGCUGGUGGGACCUGUUGGGCCACCCACGAGGGACGCGGAAGGCGGGAGAGGUGAGCAGCAGGAGUUGGCCCUGGCCUCGGAUAGGGAGCCAAUAAUGGAGGGACUGGCAGCGGACGCUGAAGGUGGGGCCAACGAUGGGAAUCAUGCACAUGCAGCAUGCAUGGUGGCAUGCACGUACGGCGUCACCGAUGAUACAAGUAUGGAAAUGGAGGGUGUUCUCGCUGGUGGGCUGGAUGAGGGCAGGCUGUAGCGUGACCAACUGGCCAUUGUCCCCAUCGAGGCAGAGGCACACGGGGAGACGGAAGGCAUGACCGCGCAAGAGGCCCAUGCGUAUGGCAAGCUCAAGAGUUUCUGCUCCAACAUCAUUAAAAAACUCGCCCCUCCCCUGUUAAAAGAGGUACAGGCGGCGCAGCUGCGUCCAGAUGCAUAACCUUUCAUGCCCAAGAGAGCUACUCGAUCGUCGAAGAAGGCCAUGGGGACACGAAGAUCAAAGGAGAGCCCGGCUGAGAAUGUGCUGCUUCAUGCCCUUGGCAUGGUUCCGGAGGACUUGGUGGUUGAUGAUGGGGUGGUGCAUGAGCUCAAGGCUCUGUUUGACUCCCCAUUGAGGGAACAACAUGUGAGGAUCAUUGCUGCUCUCUUCGGCAAGACAAUCCCAUCGGCAGAGGAAUUGGAUGCGAGCAACUCGGUGAUGAUCUCUGUCAACUAGGAGGCUUGUGGGUGGGGCUGGUGGCAGGUCCUUCUUCAUGGAUCUACAUCCCCAAGUGUUGUGCUGGAAUGUUCGUGGCCUAAACAAUCCGGCGAAGCGCAAGGCAGUGAGAGAAUUCGUGUGCUCGUUGAAGUGUAACUUGGUGUGUUUCCAGGAGACCAAGAUGAAUGUAAUGGAUCAUUUCAUUGUUAUGCAAUGCCUAGGGCCAUCUUUUGAUGGCUUCGCUUACUUACCGUCCCAUGAAACUAGGGGUGGCAUCCAGUGGCGUGGGAUAGCUCCGUGUUGAUGUUUGACAAUUUCCAGUACAACGCUAAUUUCCUUACGGGUUUGGUGCACACUAAGGUAGGAGAUCCUUGGUGGAUUUCGGUCGUAUAUGGGCCACAAAGUGACGAAGAGAAGAGCCAGUUCUUGCUAGACCUAGACGCGAGGUGUGCGGGCUGCCCGGGGCCGUGGAUGCUGUUGGGAGACUUUAACAUGAUCUUAAGGGCCGCGGAGAAGAUCAAUAACAACCUCAACAGAACUAUGAUGAAUAGAUUUCGGCAGUUUGUGGAUGACCAAGAGCUCAAGGAGAUGUACAUGCACGGCCGAAAAUUUACGUGGUCGAAUGAGCGGACGGUGCCGACCCUCACCAAGAUUGAUCGUGUGCUCAUUUCGGUUAAUUGGGAGUUGGAAAACCCAUCUUACCUGCUCCAGGCGCUCUCCACCGGAGUUUCGGAUCACGCCCCGUUGCACUUAUCCACGAGUGCUAAUUUUUGCCCCAAAAAGAGGUUCCGCUUUGAGCUUUUCUGGACUAGAAUGGAAGGUUUUGAGGAUGUUGUGAGAGAGGCCUGGGUAUGUGACGCGUCCAUCGUCGAUCCCUACAAGAGGCUGGAUGCUCUGCUGCGCAACGCCGCAAACCACCUGCAAGCGUGGGGCCAAAGGAAACUGGGGAAUGUGAAGACACUCAUGCGGGUGGCCACCUGGGUCAUCCAUAAGCUGGAUGUAGCCGAGGAGAACGGAAUUCUGCAACGGGAAGAGGUGUGGUUGCGAAGAACACUGAAACACUCGCUCCUAGGUUUGGCUGCGCUCGAGAGGACAAUUGACCGGCAGAGGUCGAGGCUCAAGUGGGUCAAAGAGGGCGACGCCAACACCAAGCUGUUCCAAGCAGUGGCAAACGGAAGAAGGACCAAGAAUUAUAUCCCAUACAUCAAACAUGGCAGCGAGAUCAUUACCGACCAGGAGAGAAUGGUGGACACGUUCACAGAAGUGUACAAGCAGUUGAUGGGCACGACACAUGCCAGGGAGCAUACUUUAGACUUGCAAUUCCUACAGAUGGAACCGAAGGAGUUGAGCUCACUUGAGGAGAUCAUUACGGAAGAAGAGGUAUGGCAGGUUAUCAAAGAAAUGGCCCCGGACCGUGCCCCGGGACCAGAUGGCUUCAUCGGUGCGUUCUACCAAUGAGCCUGGCAGAUUAUAAAACAGGACAUUAUGGCUGUGAUGCUAAAGCUGUAUGUGGGGGACACUAGAGGUUUUGCGAAGCUCAUCAAGGCCCACAUUAUCCUCAUUCCAAAAAAGCCGGAUGCGGAGGAGAUUGGAGAUUACCGGCCUAUCAGUCUUAUCCAUAGUAUCCCCAAGCUCUUUGCAAAGGUACUUGCUAACCGGUUGCGUAGCCGAAUGCCGGAAAUUGUGGCCACGAACCAGUCUGCCUUUAUCAAAGGAAGGCACCUGCAUGACAACUUUCUGCUGGUUCGGAAAGUAGCGCGGAAGAUUCAUGCAAGAAGAGUCCCAGGAGUGUUCAUCAAGUUAGACAUUUCAAGAGAUUUUGAUUCUCUUUCUUGGCCGUUUCUGUUGGAAGUCUUGCGGGCAAAGGGUUUUGGACAGAGGUGGAUGACUUGGAUCAUGACGAUCUUGCACUCUGCUAGCACCAAGGUGGUGGUGAAUGGUGUCCCCGGUGGAAGCUUCUUACAUGCCUGUGGUCUGCGCCAAGGCGACCCAAUACCGCCAAUGCUCUUUGUAAUCGCCAUGGAGGCACUUACGGCGCUAAUCAACAAAGCUACUGAUGUGGGUGUGCUCAGCUCAUAUAAUGGAAUAUCGGCGCUGCAAAGACUAUCAAUAUAUGCAGACGAUGUAGCGCUGUUCGUCAAGCCUUCACGGCAGGACCUGUCGGUAGUUCACGAGAUUCUAGACGUGUUUGGGGAGGCCUCGGGGCUAAAAGUUAACUACCACAAAUCAUCGGCAAUCUUGAUCCGUGGGGAUCAGGAAGAUAAGGAGAGGGUGGCCGGAUUGCUGCACUGUGGACUUGCCGAAUUCCCUUGCAAAUACCUUGGUGUACAGCUUGCAAUCCGAAGUUUAACGCGAGCUGAAUGGAUGCCUAUGCUUGACCAAGUCCGGAAAGUGAUCCCUGCCUGGCAACGAGGACUUAUACAGUGACCCGGUCGGCUCGUUUUGGUUCAGUCCGUUGUCGCAGCUAGGCCAGUGCACCACCUGAUGAUUACAGAUGCGCCAGAUUGGGUGUUCGAGGAAAUGAAUAAAUGGAUGAGGUCGUUUUUCUGGGCGGGGAAGGACAAAAGCAAUGGAGGGCAAUGUCUCGUGGCAUGGGACCAAGUUUGCCGACCAAAGCAGUUCAGAGGAUUAGGGAUAAAGAACAUGAAAGCCCAGGCUCUAGCCCUGAGAGUGAGGUGGGAGUGGCUAAGGAGGACUGACCCUAGCAGACCAUGGCAAGGUUUACCUAUGGCGGACGACUGUAAUGCAAGAGCUGUUUUUGAGGCCAUGGUCAGGAUUGAGGUUGGGAGGGGCGACAGCGUCCUGUUCUGGAGAGACAAGUGGCUACGCGGAGCCGGCGUGGCAGAUAUCGCGCCGCGCUUGAUGGAGACGGUGCCAACGAGAAUAAUUAACAGCCGGACGGUCCAUCAGGCUCUCACAGAGAACAGGUGGUACGAGGACUGUGAUGCCACGGCUUCCUUCACUGCCUAGUUGUAGUGUAUGCACCUUUGCCAUGCACUUGCUUCGGUGCAUAGAGAUGAGAAUGAACCGGACCGGUUCACUUGGCCGGCGACGAAUAUGGCGAGCUACUUGGCCAAAUCGGUCUAUGACUACCUUUGCUCGGGCCUGCAGAAGUCCCCGACGGCGGCAUGUACUUGGAGAAGCUGGGCGACGUUAAAGUGCAAGCUGUUUAUUUGGUUGGCGUUACAAUAUAGAUUGUGGACAUCGGAUAGACGGGCCCGUCAUGGCCUCCAAGACCAACCGUCGCCAUGUUUCACGUGCUUGCAAGCGGAGGACAAUGUUGACCACAUACUGGCCAAGUGCACCUUUGCACAGGAGGUGUGGCAUCAAGUGUUCGACCUGCUCGGCCUCAAUGUUGUAGGAACAACCCCAAACGACACCUUCCCUGUUUGGUGGAUGAGAGAAAGGAAGAAGUUUAGGGGAGCUAACAGAAGAGGGUUUGACACUCUCGUGACGGCGGUGGCUUGGAUACUUUGGAAGCAAAGAAACGCCAGGGUCUUCAACAGACAGGAGAAACAGAAGCCAGCACCCCUCAUUCCCAACCUAGUGCUUGAGGAAAUCACGGCAUGGCAUACGGCAGGGCUUGGAGCGGAACAUCUACAACGUUUUGUGAGGAGUUAGAUUAGUAGUGUUUCGGAGUUGGAGUAGGUGUGUGUCACCCAUCCUAGAUGUUCGCACCAGGGAGGGGCAUCUUGUAAUUAACUCUCUUUCGUCUAUAAAAAUAUGGUAAGCCAUUGGCGUACUCUCGGAAAAAUAAACUUUUGCAACUCUUAGUUUUUGACAAUUAUUAUCACAAUAGAUAUUCCGUGGCAAAAGCAAAAAUUUCAGAGUGGCAAUUGUGAUACAUGGUCAAAAGCUAAGAGUGGCAAAAAUAAAAUAAAAUAAUUUUGCUUUUGCCACGGAAUGGCAAUUGUAAUAAUUGUCAAAAUCUAAGAGUGGCAAAGGUGAAAUGUCAAAUCUAGAGUGGCAUAAGAAAAAUUGGCAAAAUCUAAAGUGGCAAAAAAAACCUUUCUUGAACUCUUACAAGACGACUUCAUGUCCAACUCAACACGUAACCGUGCCCAACUCGACGCUACCCCUAACAUGUGUUUAGGCUCAAAUUUGGAAAAUUGGACUACUUUCAAACUUACGCUACGACUCAAAUUGUUAGAUAGAAGGAGAUUAAAUGAAAGAUGAAUGUGCAAUCGCACUAUGAUUGAGAAGAUGGCAAGCAUGAGAUGACUAGUAGUAGUCUUUAAGUGUGACUACUUGUGUAUAUAUAGAGGUAAGCCGACGUCCGGCCUGUUUAGGGCGACCUCUAGAAAUUCUAUCAUAGAAAAUGCGAUUUUUUUGUCCAAAAGGACCACCUGCCGAGUCAAAUUGAUGAAAAAGACCAACUUUUUAAAAAAAUUGAUAAAAAAGACCAGUUAGGCCGUGGCAGCAGGCGCGCCAACCGACACGUGGGGGAGGCGGCAGGCACUACAGCAAGCGGCAGCCCGGAAUUACCGGAGACUGGGCGAGACCAGCUGCUGCAACGGAAUAGGAUGGGCUGGUGGGCCCUGCCGCCACACACCGUGGUGACAAGUCUCCACCAGCAGCUCGGCUAUGUCUCUCAGCUCUCUGUUUUACUUGCUGUUAGCAAGUGUGAAAACAUGCAAGGUUGACUGAAAUUUAAAUCAAUCUGAAGGCCAAUUUUGAAGAUGUUGCAGUCGAAGAAAAGAUAGAUCCAGAUGAGACCUAUCCAUUUUUAUGUUUUUCGCUUACAUGCACGAUCGUUUCGUACUUUCCAAAUGCUCCAAAACACUCCCAACAUAUUAUCAAACGCCUAAUUUAACCUAUAAACCCUGGAGAACUGCUAGGCAGGAGGAAGGUGGCCACGUCGCCUUUAAAUCCCGAAUGCCACCGCCUGUAAAUUCCGUGCCCCGUCAAGGGCAUUUUAGUCAUUUCACGCGCAGGCAUAUAAAACGCAGCCCGCCCGUAUAGAAACCCUAGCCGCUGCCUCCGCCCGCACUCGCUCCCCCACCCACCCGCGCAGCUCUCUUCCCCGACCCCUUCCUUCCCCCGUCUGCCCGAGCCCCCGCCGCCAACUGCUCCUCCUCCACCGCCUUGCCUCUUCCUCCUCCUCGCCGUCCCAUCGCUUGCACGCAGGCCAUCGCGGCCACGCGCUUCGCGGGCGAACCCGAUCUCCACCGCCUGCUCCUGCACGACGCCUCUCGAGUGAAGGAGGAUGCCCAAACCAUGGUCGAGCCAACGGUGGGGGCCGGGUCAAGGCUGCGGUUGGCGGCCUGGAUGCAGGAGAACCGCUAGGCAGGAGGAAGGUGGCCACGUCACCUUUAAAUCGUGAAUGCCACCGCCUGUAAAUUCCGUGCCCCGCCAUGGGCAUUUUAGUCAUUUCACGCGCAGGCAUAUAAAACGCAGCCCGCCCGUGUAGAAACCCUAGCCGCUGCCUCCGCCCGCACUCGCUCCCCCACCCACCUGCGCAGCUCUCUUCCCCGACCCCUUCCUUCCCCCGUCUGCCCGAGCCCCCGCCGCCAACUGCUACUCCUCCACCGCCUCGCCUCUUCCUCCUCCUCGCCGUCCCAUCGCAUGCACGCAGGCCAUCGUGGCCACGGGCUUCGUGUUAGAAAUAUGUCCUAGAGGCAAUAAUAAAUUGGUUAUUGUUAUAUUUCCUUGUUCAUGAUAAUCGUUUAUUAUCCAUGCUAAAAUUGUAUUGAUAGGAAACUCAGAUACAUGUGUGGAUACAUAGACAACACCAUGUCCCUAGUAAGCCUCUAGUUGACUAGCUCGUUGAUCAAUAGAUGGUUACGGUUUCCUGACCAUGGACAUUGGAUGUCGUUGAUAACGGGAUCACAUCAUUAGGAGAAUGAUGUGAUGGACAAGACCCAAUCCUAAGCCUAGCACAAGAUCGUGUAGUUCGUCUGCUAAAGCUUUUCUAAUGUCAAGUAUCAUUUCCUUAGACCAUGAGAUUGUGCAACUCCCGGAUACCGUAGGAAUGCUUUGGGUGUACCAAACGUCACAACGUAACUGGGUGGCUAUAAAGGUGCACUACAGGUAUCUCCGAAAGUGUCUGUUGGGUUGGCAUGAAUCGAGACUGGGAUUUGUCACUCCGUGUAAACGGAGAGGUAUCUCUGGGCCCACUCGGUAGGACAUCAUCAUAAUGUGCACAAUGUGACCAAGGAGUUGAUCACGGGAUGAUGUGUUAUGGAACGAGUAAAGAGACUUGCCGGUAACGAGAUUGAACAAGGUAUCGGGAUACCGACGAUCGAAUCUCGGGCAAGUACUAUACCGGUAGACAAAGGGAAUUGUAUAUGGGAUUGAUUGAAUCCUUGACAUCGUGGUUCAUCCGAUGAGAUCAUCGUGGAACAUGUGGGAGGCAACAUGGGUAUCCAGAUCCCGCUGUUGGUUAUUGGCCGGAGAUAUGUCUCGGUCAUGACUACAUGGUUCCCGAGCCCGUAGGGUCUACACACUUAAGGUUCGAUGACGCUAGGGUUAUAGGGAAAGUAUGUACGCGGUUACCGAAUGUUGUUCGGAGUCCCGGAUGAGAUCCCGGAUGUCACGAGGAGUUCCGGAAUGGUCCGGAGGUAAAGAUUGAUAUAUAGGAAGUGAGGAUUUGGCCACCGGAAGUGUUCCGGGCAUCACCGGUAAUGUACCGGGACCACCGGAAGGGUCCGGGGGUCCACCGGGAGGGGCCACCAGCCCCAGAGGCUUGCGUGGGCCAAUAGUGGGAAGGGACCAGCCCCUAGGUGUUGGGGAACGUAGUAAUUUCAAAAAAAUUCCUACGCACACGCAAGAUCAUGGUGAUGCAUAGCAACGAGAGGGGAGAGUGUUGUCCACGUACCCUCGUAGACCGACAGCGGAAGCGUUAUCACAACGCGGUUGAUGUAGUCGUACGUCUUCAUGAUCCGACCGAUCAAGUACCGAACGUACGGCACCUCCGAGUUCCACACACGUUCAGCUCGAUGACGUCCCUCGAACUCCGAUCCAGCCGAGUGUUGAGGGAGAGUUUCGUCAGCACGACGGCGUGGUGACGAUGAUGAUGUUCCACCGACGCAGGGCUUCGCCUAAGCUCCGCAACGGUAUUAUCGAGGUGUAAUAUGGUGGAGGGGGGCACCGCACACGGCUAAGAGAUCUCAAGGAUCAAUUGUUGUGUCUCUGGGGUGCCCCCUGCCCCCGUAUAUAAAGGAGCAAGGGAGGAGGAGGCCGGCCCUAGGAGGGGGCGCACCAAGUGUGGAGUCCUACUAGGACUAGUACAAUGCCCGUCGUUGCCACGGGCUCUUGAAUGUUGGAAAUAUGCCCUAGAGGCAAUAAUAAAUAGGUUAUUAUUAUAUUUCCUUGUUCAUGAUAAUCGUUUAUUAUCCAUGCUAGAAUUGUAUUGAUAGGAAACUCAGAUACAUGUGUGGAUACAUAGACAACACCAUGUCCCUAGUAAGCCUCUAGGAGACUAGCUCGUUGAUCAAUAGAUGGUUAUGGUUUCCUAACCAUGGACAUUGGAUGUCGUUGAUAACGGGAUCACAUCAUUAGGAGAAUGAUGUGAUGGACAAGACCCAAUCCUAAGCCUAGCACAAGAUCGUGUAGUUCGUUUGCUCAGAGCUUUUCUAAUGUCAAGUAUCACUUCCUUAGACCAUGAGAUUGUGCAACUCCCGGAUACCGUAGGAAUGCUUUGGGUGUACCAAACGUCACAACGUAACUGGGUGGCUAUAAAGGUGCACUACGGGUAUCUCCGAAAGUGUCUGUUGGGUUGGCACGAAUCGAGACUGGGAUUUGUCACUCCGUGUAAACGGAGAGGUAUCUCUGGGCCCACUCGGUAGGACAUCAUCAUAAUGUGCACAGUGUGACCAAGGAGUUGAUCACGGGAUGAUGUGAGUUACGGAACGAGUAAAGAGACUUGCCGGUAACGAGAUUGAACAAGGUAUAGGGAUACCGACGAUCGAAUCUCGGGCAAGUAACAUACCGAUGGACAAAGGGAAUUGCAUACGGGAUUGAUUGAAUCCCCGACAUCGUGGUUCAUCCGAUGAGAUCAUUGUGGAACAUGUGGGAGCCAACAUGGGUAUCCAGAUCCCGUUGUUGGUUAUUGACCGGAGAACGUCUCGGUCAUGUCUGCAUGGUUCCCGAACCCGUAGGGUCUACACACUUAAGGUUCGAUGACGCUAGGGUUAUAGGGAAAGUAUGUACGUGGUUACCGAAUGUUAUUCGGAGUCCCGGAUGAGAUCCCGGACGUCACGAGGAGUUCCGGAAUGGUCCGGAGGUAAAGAUUUAUAUAUGGGAAGUCCUGUUUUGGUCACCAGAAAAGUUUCGGGUGAAAUCGGUAAUGUACCGGGACCACCGGGAGGGUCCCGGGGGUCCACCAAGUGGGGCCACCAGCCCCAGAAGGCUGCGUGGGCCAAGUGUGGGAGGGGACCAGCCCCAGGUGGGCUGGUGCGCCCCCCCCACCAAGGCCCAGGCGCAUGGGAGAGUGGGAGGGGGCAAACCCUAGGUCCAGAUGGGCCUUAGGGCCCAUCUAGUGGGGCGCCUCCCCCUCUCCUCCCCUUGGCCGCCCCCCUUGAUGGGAUCUAGGGCUGGCCGCCUCCUCUUGAGGGUGGAAACCCUAAAGGGGGCGCAGCCCCCUUCCCCCCUAUAUAUACUUGAGGUUUGGGCUGCCAUACAGACACGAGAAAGUCUCCUUUUGGUGCUGCCCUACCCCUCUCCCUCCUCCUCCUCUCCCGCGGUGCUUGGCGAAGCCCUGCGGGAUUGCCACGCUCCUCCAUCACCACCACGCCGUCGUGCUGCUGCUGGAUGGAGUCUUCCCCAACCUCUCCCUCUCUCCUUGCUGGAUCAAGGCGUGGGAGACGUCACCGGGCUGCACGUGUGUUGAACGCGGAGGCACCGUACUUUCGGUGCUUAGAUCGGAAUCAACCGCGAUCUGAAUCGCUACGAGUACGACUCCCUCAUCCGCGUUCUUGCAACGCUUCCGCAUCGCGAUCUACAAGGGUAUGUAGAUGCACUCCCCUUCCCUUCGUUGCUAGUAAACUCCAUAGAUUGAUCUUGGUGAUGCGUAGAAAAUUUUGAAUUUCUGCUACGUUCCCCAACAGUGGCAUCAUGAGCUAGGUCUAUGCGUAGUUUCUAUGCACGAGUAGAACACAAAGUAGUUGUGGGCGUCGAUGUUGUCAAUUCUUCUUGCCGCUACUAGUCUUAUCUUGUUUCGGCGGCAUUGUGGGAUGAAGCGGCCCGGACCGACCUUACACGUACGCUUACGUGAGACAGGUUCCACCGACUGACAUGCACUAGUUGCAUAAGGUGGCUAGCGGGUGUCUGUCUCUCCCACUUUAGUCGGAACGGAUUCGAUGAAAAGGGUCCUUAUGAAGGGUAAAUAGAAAUUGGCAAAUCACGUUGUGGUCAUCGUAGGUAAGAAACGUUCUUGCUAGAAACCUACAAACCACGUAAAAACUUGCAACAACAAUUAGAGGACGUCUAACUUGUUUUUGCAGCAAGUGCUAUGUGAUGUGAUAUGGCCAGAAGAUGUGAUGAAUGAUAUAUGUGAUGUAUGAGAUUGAUCAUAUUCUUGUAAUAGGAAUCACGACUUGCAUGUCGAUGAGUAUGACAACCGGCAGGAGCCAUAGGAGUUGUCUUUAUUUUUUGUAUGACCUGUGUGUCAUUGAAUAACGCCAUGUAAAUUACUUUACUUUAUUGCUAAGCGCGUUAGCCAUAGAAGUAGAAGUAAUCGUUGGCGUGACAACUUCAUGAAGACACAAUGAUGGAGAUCAUGAUGAUGGAGAUCAUGGUGUCAUGCCGGUGACAAAGAUGAUCAUGGUGCCCCGAAGAUGGAGAUCAAAGGAGCAAGAUGAUAUUGGCCAUAUCAUGUCACUAUUUGAUUUCAUGUGAUGUUUAUCAUGUUAUGCAUCUUAUUUGCUUAGAACGACGGUAGUAAGUAAGAUGAUCCCUCACUAAAAUUUCAAGAGAAGUGUUCCCCCUAACUGUGCACCGUUGCGAAGGUUCGUCGUUUCGAAGCACCACGUGAUGAUCGGGUGUGAUAGAUUCUUACGUUCGAAUACAACGGGUGUUGACGAGCCUAGCAUGUACAGACAUGGCCUCGGCACACACGCAAUACACUUAGGUUGACUUGACGAGCCUAGCAUGUACAGACAUGGCCUCGGAACACGGAGGACCGAAAGGUCGAGCAUGAGUCGUAUAGAAGAUACGAUCAACAUGGAGAUGUUCACCGAUCUUGACUAGUCCGUCUCACGUGAUGAUCGGACACGGCCUAGUUGAACUCGGAUCAUGUUUCACUUAGAUGACUAGAGGGAUGUCUAUCUGAGUGGGAGUUCAUAAUCAGAUGAACUUCAUUAUCAUGAACAUAGUCAAAAAGGUAUUUGCAAACUAUGUCAUAGCUUGCGCUUUAAGUUCUACUGGUUUAGAUAUGUUCCUAGAGAAAAUUUAGUUGAAAGUUGGUAGUAGCAAUUAUGCGGACUGGGUCCGUAAACUGAGGAUUGUCCUCAUUGCUGCACAGAAGGCUUAUGUCCUUAAUGCACCGCUCGGUGUGCUGAACCUCAGCGUCGUCUGUAGAUGUUGCGAAACAUCUGACAUACACGUUUUGAUAACUACGUGAUAGUUCAGUGCGGUUUAGAAUUGUGGCACCCAAGACGUUUUUGAAACGUCGCAGAACAUGUGAGAUGUUCCGAAGACUGAAAUUGGGAUUUCAGACUAGUGCCCACGUCAAGAGGUAUGAGACCUCUGACAAGUUUCUUAAGCCUGCAAACUAAGGGAGAAAAGCUCAAUCGUUGAGCAUGUGCUCAGAUUGUCUGAGUGCCACAAUCACUUGAAUCGAGUGGGAGUUAAUCUCCCAGAUGAGAUAGUGAUAGUUCUCCAUAGUCACUGCCACUAAGCUAGUAGAGCUUCGUAAUGAACUAUAACAUAUCAAGGAUAGUUAUGAUGAUCCUUGAGCUAUUCGCGAUGUCUGACACCGCGAGAGUAGAAAUCAAGAAGGAGCAUCAAUUGUUGAUGGUUAGUAAAACCACUAGUUUAAGAAGGGCAAGGGCAAAAGGGAUACUUCAUGAAACAACAAGUCGUUUGCUGCUCUAGUGAAGAAUCCCAAGGUUGAACCCAAACCCGAGACUAAGUGCUUCUGUAAUAAGAGGAACGGUCACUGAAGCAGUACUACCCUAGAUACUUGGUAGAUGAGAAGACAGGCAAGGUCGACAGAAGUAUAUUGGAUAUACGUCAUAUGAAUGUGUACUUUACUAGUACUCCCAGCAGCACCAGGGUAUUAGAUACCGGUUCGGUUGCUAAGUGUUAGUAACUCGAAAUAAAAGCUGCGGAAUAAACGGAGACUAGCUAAAGGUGAGAUGACGAUAUGUGUUGGAAGUGUUUCCAAGGUUGAUGUGAUCAAGCAUCGCAUGCUCCCUCUACUAUCGAGAUUUGGUGUUUGCGUUGAGCAUGAUUGGAUUAUGUUUAUCGCAAUAUGGUUAUUCAUUUAAGGAGAAUAAUGGUUACUCUGUUUAUUUGAAUAAUACCUUCAAUGGUCUUGCACCUAAAAUGAAUCUCGAUCGUAGUGAUACACAUGUUCAUGCCAAAAAGGAUAUAUGAUAGUAAUGAUAGUACCACAUACUUGUGGCACUGCCACUUGAGUCAUAUUGGUAUAGAACGCAUGAGGAAGCUCCAUGUGGAUGGAUCUUUGGACUCACUCAUUUUUGAAAAGAUUGAGACAUGCGAACCAUGUCUAUUGGUAUAUAUGCAUGAAGAAACUCCAUGCAGAUGGAUCAUUUAGACUCACUUGAUUAUGAAUCACUUGAGACAUGCAAAUCAUACCACAUGGGCAAGAUGACUGAAAGUCCUCGUUUUCAGUAAGAUGGAACAAGAGAGCAACUUAUUGGAAGUAAUACAUUUUGAUGUAUGCAGUCCAAUGAGUGCUGAGGCAUGCAGUGGAUAUCAUUAUGUUCUUACUUCACAGAUGAUUUGAGUAGAUGCUGAGAAUAUUUACUUGAUGAAACACAAGUCUGAAUUAUUGAAAGGUUCAAGUAAUUUCAGAGUGAAGUCGAAGAUUGUCGUGACAAGAGGAUAAAAUGUCUAUGAUAUGAUCAUAGAGAUAUCUGAGUUACGAGUUUGGCACACAAUUAAGACAUUGUGGAAAGUGUUUCACAAUUAAUACCGCCUGGAACACCAUAGUGUGAUGGUGUGUCCGAACAUCACAACUGCACCCUAUUGGAUAUGGUGCACACCAUGAUGUUUCUUAUCAAAUUACCACUAUCGUUUAUGGGUUAGGCAUUAGAGACAACCACAUUCACUUUAAAAGGGGCACCACGCAAUUCCGUUGAGACGACACCGUUUAUAGAAACCUAAGUUGUCGUUUCUUAAAAGUUUGGGGCUGCGAUGCUUAUGUGAAAAAGUUUCAGGCUGAUAAGCUCAAACCCAAAGCGGAUAAAUGCAUCUUCAUAGAAUACCCAAAAACAGUUGGGUAUACCUCCUAUUUCAGAUCUGGAAGCAAAAGUAAUUGCUUCUAGAAAUGAGUCCUUUCUUGAGGAAAAGUUUCUCUCGAAAUAAUUGAGUGGGAGGAUGGUGGAGACUUGAUAAGGUUAUUGAAUCCUCGCUUCAACUAGUGUGUAGCAGGGCACAGGAAGUUGUUCCUGUGGCACCUACACCAAUUGAAGUGGAAGCUUAUGAUAGUGAUCAUGAAACUUCGGAUCAAGUCACUACCAAACCUCGUAGGACGACGAGGAUGCGCACUACUUCAGAGUGGUACGUGAUCCUGUCUGAGAUAUCAUGUUGUUGGACAAUACUGAACCUACGAGCUAUGGAGAAGCGAUGGUGGGCCCAUAUUUCGACAAAUGGUUAGAAACCAUGAAAUCCGAGAUAAAUGGAUCUUUGAGAAGAAGACGGACGUGGACGGUAAUGUUACCGUCUAUGAAGCUCGACUUGUGGCAAAGAGUAUUUUCACAAGUUCAAGGAGUUGACUACGAUGAGUUUUUCUCAUCCGUAGCGAUGCUUAGGUCCGUCGGAAUCAUGUUAGCAUUAGCUACAUUUAUGAAAUCUGGCAGAUGGAUGUCAAAACAAGUUUCCUUACCAGUUUUCGUAAGGAAAGGUUGUAUGUGAUACAAUCAGAAAGGUUUUGUCAAUCCUAAGGAUGCUAAAAGGUAUGCUAGCUCCAGCGAUCCUUCCAUGGAUUAGAGCAAGCAUCUCGGAGUCAGAAUAUACGCUUUGAUGGGGUGAUCAAAGUUUUUGGGUUUAUACAAAGUUUGUUAGAAACUUGUAUUUACAAUAAAGUGAGUGGGAGCGCUACAACAUUUCUGAUAAGUAUAUGUGAAUGACAUAUUGUUGAUCCGAAAUGAUGUAAAAUUUCUGGAAAGCAUAAAGGGUUGUUUGAAAGGAGUUUUUCAAAGGAAGACCUGGAUAAAGCUACUUACAUAUUGGGCAUCAAGAUCCAUAGAGAUAGAUCAAGACGCCUGAUGAUACUUUCAAAAGACAGCACACCUUGACAUGAUUUUGAAAGAGUUCAAAAUAGAUCAGCAAAGAAGGAGUUCUUGGCUGUGUUACAAGGUGUGAGUAUUGAGUAAGACUCAAGACCUGACCACAGCAGAAGAUAGAGAAAGGACGAAGGUCGUCCCCUAUGCUUUAGACGUAGGCUCUAUAGUAUGCUAUGCUGUGUACCGCACAUGUAGUGUGCCUUGCCAUGAGUUGGUCAAGAGGGUACAAUGGUGAUCCGGGAAUGGAUCUCAUGACAGCGGUCGAACUUAUCCUUAGUACCUAGUGGACUAAGGAAUUUUCUCGAUUAUGGAGGUGAAAAGGAGUUCGUCGUAAAGAGUUACGUCGAUGCGAACUUUGACACUAAUCCGGAUGACUCUGAGUAGUAAACCGGAUUCGUAUAGUAGAGCAAUUACUUGAAAUGGCUCCAAGUAGCGCGUGGUAGCAUCCACAAAGAUGACAUAGAUAUUCGUAAAGCACACACGAAUCUGAAAGGUUCAGGCCCGUUGACUAAUAACCUCUCUCACAAGCAUAACAUGAUCAAACCAGAACUCAUUGAGUGUUAAUCACAUAGAGAUGUGAGCUAGAUUGUUGACUCUAGUAAACUCUUGGGUGUUGGUCACAUGGUGAUGUGACCUGUCAGUGUUAAUCACAUGGUGAUGUGAACUAGAUUAUUGACUCUAGUGCAAGUGGGAGACUGUUGGAAAUAUGCCCUAGAGGCAAUAAUAAAUAGGUUAUUAUUAUAUUUCCUUGUUCAUGAUAAUCGUUUAUUAUCCAUGCUAGAAUUGUAUUGAUAGGAAACUCAGAUACAUGUGUGGAUACAUAGACAACACCAUGUCCCUAGUAAGCCUCUAGGAGACUAGCUCGUUGAUCAAUAGAUGGUUAUGGUUUCCUGACCAUGGACAUUGGAUGUCGUUGAUAACGGGAUCACAUCAUUAGGAGAAUGAUGUGAUGGACAAGACCCAAUCCUAAGCCUAGCACAAGAUCGUGUAGUUCGUUUGCUCAGAGCUUUUCUAAUGUCAAGUAUCACUUCCUUAGACCAUGAGAUUGUGCAACUCCCGGAUACCGUAGGAAUGCUUUGGGUGUACCAAACGUCACAACGUAACUGGGUGGCUAUAAAGGUGCACUACAGGUAUCUCCGAAAGUGUCUGUUGAGUUUGGCACGAAUCGAGACUGGGAUUUGUCACUCCGUGUAAACGGAGAGGUAUCUCUGGGCCCACUCGGUAGGACAUCAUCAUAAUGUGCACAAUGUGACCAAGGAGUUGAUCACGGGAUGAUGUGAGUUACGGAACGAGUAAAGAGACUUGCCGGUAACGAGAUUGAACAAGGUAUCAGGAUACCGACGAUCGAAUCUCGGGCAAGUAACAUACCGAUGGACAAAGGGAAUUGCAUACGGGAUUAAUUGAAUCCCCGACAUCGUGGUUCAUCCGAUGAAAUCAUCGUGGAACAUGUGGCAGCCAACAUGGGUAUCCAGAUCCCGCUGUUGGUUAUUGACCGGAGAACGUCUCGGUCAUGUCUGCAUGGUUCCCGAACCCGUAGGGUCUACACGCUUAAGGUUCGAUGACGCUAGGGUUAUAGGGAAAGCAUGUACGUGGUUACCGAAUGUUGUUCGGAGUCCCGGAUGAGAUCCCGGACGUCACGAGGAGUUCCGGAAUGGUCCGGAGGUAAAGAUUUAUAUAUGGGAAGUCCUGUUUUGGUCACCGGAAAAGUUUCGGGUGAAAUCGGUAAUGUACCGGGACCACCGGGAGGGUCCCGGGGGUCCACCAAGUGGGGCCACCAGCCCCAGAAGGCUGCGUGGGCCAAGUGUGGGAGGGGACCAGCCCCAGGUGGGCUGGUGCGCCCCCCCACCAAGGCCCAAGGCGCAUGGGAGAGUGGGAGGGGGCAAACCCUAGGUCCAGAUGGGCCUUAGGGCCCAUCUAGUGGGGCGCCUCCCCCUCUCCUCCCCUUGGCCGCCCCCCUUGAUGGGAUCUAGGGCUGGCUGCCUCCUCUUGGGGGUGGAAACCCUAAGGGGGGCGCAGCCCCCUUCCCCCCUAUAUAUACUUGAGGUUUGGGCUGCCAUACAGACACGAGAAAGUCUCCUUUUGGUGCUGCCCUACCCCUCUCCCUCCUCCUCCUCUCCCGCGGUGCUUGGCGAAGCCCUGCGGGAUUGCCACGCUCCUCCAUCACCACCACGCCGUCGUGCUGCUGCUGGAUGGAGUCUUCCCCAACCUCUCCCUCUCUCCUUGCUGGAUCAAGGCGUGGGAGACGUCACCGGGCUGCACGUGUGUUGAACGCGGAGGCACCGUUCUUUCGGUGCUUAGAUCGGAAUCAACCGCGAUCUGAAUCGCUACGAGUACGACUCCCUCAUCCGCGUUCUUGCAACGCUUCCGCAUCGCGAUCUACAAGGGUAUGUAGAUUCACUCCCCUUCCCCUCGUUGCUAGAUUACUCCAUAGAUUGAUCUUGGUGUUGCGUAGAAAAUUUUGAAUUUCUGCUACGUUCCCCAACAGUGGCAUCAUGAGCUAGGUCUAUGCGUAGUUUCUAUGCACGAGUAGAACACAAAGUAGUUGUGGGCGUCGAUGUUGUCAAUUCUUCUUGCCGCUACUAGUCUUAUCUUGUUUCGGCGGCAUUGUGGGAUGAAGCGGCCCGGACCGACCUUACACGUACUCUUACGUGAGACAGGUUCCACCGACUGACAUGCACUAGAUGCAUAAGGUGGCUAGCGGGUGUCUGUCUCUCCUACUUUAGUCGGAACGGAUUCGAUGAAAAGGGUCCUUAUGAAGGGUAAAUAGAAAUUGGCAAAUCACGUUGUGGUCAUACGUAGGUAAGAAACGUUCUUGCUAGAAACCUACAAACCACGUAAAAACUUGCAACAACAAUUAGAGGACGUCUAACUUGUUUUUGCAGCAAGUGCUAUGUGAUGUGAUAUGGCCAAAAGAUGUGAUGAAUGAUAUAUGUGAUGUAUGAGAUUGAUCAUAUUCUUGUAAUAGGAAUCACGACUUGCAUGUCGAUGAGUAUGACAACCGGCAGGAGCCAUAGGAGUUGUCUUUAUUAUUUUGCAUGACCUGCGUGUCAUUGAAUAACGCCAUGUAAUUUACUUUACUUUGUUGCUAAACGCGUUAGCCAUACAAGUAGAAGUAAUCGUUGGCGUGACGACUUCAUGAAGACACAAUGAUGGAGAUCAUGGUGUCAUGCCGGUGACAAAGAUGAUCAUGGUGCCCCGAAGAUGGAGAUCAAAGGAGCAUGAUGAUAUUGGCCAUAUCAUGUCACUAUUUGAUUGCAUGUGAUGUUUAUCAUGUUUUUGCAUCUUAUUUGCUUAGAACGACGGUAGCAAAUAGGAUGAUCCCUUAUAAUAAUUUCAAAAGUGUUCACCCUAACUGUGCACCGUUGCGAAGGUUCGUUGUUUCGAAGCACCACGUGAUGAUCGGGUGUGAUAGAUUCUAACGUUCGAAUACAACGGGUGUUGACGAGCCUAGCAUGUACAGACAUGGCCUCGGAACACACGCAAUACACUUAGGUUCACUUGACGAGCCUAGCAUGUACAGACAUGGCCUCGGAACACGGAGGACCGAAAGGUCGAGCAUGAGUCGUAUAGAAGAUACGAUCAACAUGGAGAUGUUCACCGAUCUUGACUAGUCCGUCUCACGUGAUGAUCGGACACGGCCUAGUCGAAUUCGGAUCAUGUUUCACUUAGAUGACGAGAGGGAUGUCUAUCUGAGUGGGAGUUCAUUAAAUAAUUUGAUUAUAUGAACUUAAUUAUCAUGAACUUAGUCUAAAAUCUUUACACUAUAUAUUGUAGAUCAAAUGGCCCACGUUGUCCUCAAUUUCAACGCGUUCCUAGAGAAAACCAAGCUGAAAGAUGAUGGCAGCAACUAUACGGACUGGGUCCGGAACCUGAGGAUCAUCCUCAUAGCAGCCAAGAAAGAUUAUGUCUUAGAAGCACCGCUAGGUGAAGCACCAAUCCCUGAGAACCAAGACAUUAUGAACGCUUGGCAGCAGCGUGCUGAUCAUUACUCCCUCGUUCAGUGCGGCAUGCUUUACAGCUUAGAACCGGGUCUCCAAAAGCGUUUUGAGAAACAUGGAGCAUAUGAGAUGUUCGAGGAGCUGAAACUGGUUUUUCAAGCUCAUGCCCGGGUCGAGAGAUAUGAUGUCUCCGACAAGUUCUUCAGCUGUAAAAUGGAGGAGAACAGUUCUGUUAGUGAGCACAUACUCAGAAUGUCUGGGUUGCACAACCGCUUGUCUCAGCUGGGAGUUAAUCUCCCGGAUGACGCGGUCAUUGACAGAAUCCUCCAGUCGCUUCCACCAAGCUACAAGAGCUUUGUGAUGAACUACAAUAUGCAGGGGAUGGAAAAGACCAUUCCCGAGGUAUAUUCAAUGCUGAAAUCAGCUGAGGUAGAGAUCAGAAAAGAACAUCAAGUGUUGAUGGUGAAUAAAACCACUAAGUUCAAGAAGGGCAAGGGUAAGAAGAACUUCAAGAAGGACGGCAAGGGAGUUGCCGCACCCGGUAAGCCAGUUACCGGGAAGAAGUCAAAGAAUGGACCCAAGCCCGAGACUGAGUGCUUUUAUUGCAAGGGAAGUGGUCACUGGAAGCGGAACUGCCCCAAAUAUUUAGCGGACAAGAAGAAGGCCGGCAACACCCAAGGUAUAUGUGAUAUACAAGUAAUUGAUGUGUACCUUACCAGUACUCGUAGUAGCUCCUGGGUAUUUGAUACCGGUGCGGUUGCUCAUAUUUGUAACUCAAAGCAGGAACUACGGAAUAAACGGAGACUGGCAAAGGACGAGGUGACGAUGCGCGUUGGGAAUGGUUCCAAGGUCGAUGUGAUCGCCGUCGGCACGCUACCUCUGCAUCUACCCACGGGAUUAGUUUUAAACCUCAAUAAUUGUUAUUUAGUGCCAGCUUUGAGCAUGAACAUUGUAUCUGGAUCUCGUUUAAUUCGAGAUGGCUACUCAUUUAAAUCCGAGAAUAAUGGUUGUUCUAUUUAUUUGAGAGAUAUGUUUUAUGGUCAUGCCCCGCUGGUCAAUGGUUUAUUUUUGAUGAAUCUCGAACAUGAUGUUACACAUGUUCAUAGUGUGAAUACCAAAAGAUGUAAAGUUGAUAACGAUAGUCCCACAUACUUGUGGCACUGCCGCCUUGGUCACAUUGGUGUCAAGCGCAUGAAGAAGCUCCAUGCAGAUGGACUUUUGGAGUCUCUUGAUUACGAAUCAUUUGACACGUGCGAACCAUGCCUCAUGGGUAAGAUGUGUUGGAAAUAUGCCCUAGAGGCAAUAAUAAAUAGGUUAUUAUUAUAUUUCCUUGUUCAUGAUAAUCGUUUAUUAUCCAUGCUAGAAUUGUAUUGAUAGGAAACUCAGAUACAUGUGUGGAUACAUAGACAACACCAUGUCCCUAGUAAGCCUCUAGUUGACUAGCUCGUUGAUCAAUAGAUGGUUACGGUUUCCUGACCAUGGACAUUGGAUGUCGUUGAUAACGGGAUCACAUCAUUAGGAGAAUGAUGUGAUGGACAAGACCCAAUCCUAAGCCUAGCACAAGAUCGUGUAGUUCGUUUGCUCAGAGCUUUUCUAAUGUCAAGUAUCACUUCCUUAGACCAUGAGAUUGUGCAACUCCCGGAUACCGUAGGAAUGCUUUGGGUGUGCCAAACGUCACAACGUAACUGGGGGGCUAUAAAGGUGCACUACGGGUAUCUCCGAAAGUGUCUGUUGGGUUGGCACGAAUCGAGACUGGGAUUUGUCACUCCGUGUAAACGGAGAGGUAUCUCUGGGCCCACUCGGUAGGACAUCAUCAUAAUGUGCACAGUGUGACCAAGGAGUUGAUCACGGGAUGAUGUGAGUUACGGAACGAGUAAAGAGACUUGCCGGUAACGAGAUUGAACAAGGUAUAGGGAUACCGACGAUCGAAUCUCGGGCAAGUAACAUACCGAUGGACAAAGGGAAUUGCAUACGGGAUUGAUUGAAUCCCCGACAUCGUGGUUCAUCCGAUGAGAUCAUUGUGGAACAUGUGGGAGCCAACAUGGGUAUCCAGAUCCCGUUGUUGGUUAUUGACCGGAGAACGUCUCGGUCAUGUCUGCAUGGUUCCCGAACCCGUAGGGUCUACACACUUAAGGUUCGAUGACGCUAGGGUUAUAGGGAAAGUAUGUACGUGGUUACCGAAUGUUAUUCGGAGUCCCGGAUGAGAUCCCGGACGUCACGAGGAGUUCCGGAAUGGUCCGGAGGUAAAGAUUUAUAUAUGGGAAGUCCUGUUUUGGUCACCAGAAAAGUUUCGGGUGAAAUCGGUAAUGUACCGGGACCACCGGGAGGGUCCCGGGGGUCCACCAAGUGGGGCCACCAGCCCCAGAAGGCUGCGUGGGCCAAGUGUGGGAGGGGACCAGCCCCAGGUGGGCUGGUGCGCCCCCCCCACCAAGGCCCAGGCGCAUGGGAGAGUGGGAGGGGGCAAACCCUAGGUCCAGAUGGGCCUUAGGGCCCAUCUAGUGGGGCGCCUCCCCCUCUCCUCCCCUUGGCCGCCCCCCUUGAUGGGAUCUAGGGCUGGCCGCCUCCUCUUGAGGGUGGAAACCCUAAAGGGGGCGCAGCCCCCUUCCCCCCUAUAUAUACUUGAGGUUUGGGCUGCCAUACAGACACGAGAAAGUCUCCUUUUGGUGCUGCCCUACCCCUCUCCCUCCUCCUCCUCUCCCGCGGUGCUUGGCGAAGCCCUGCGGGAUUGCCACGCUCCUCCAUCACCACCACGCCGUCGUGCUGCUGCUGGAUGGAGUCUUCCCCAACCUCUCCCUCUCUCCUUGCUGGAUCAAGGCGUGGGAGACGUCACCGGGCUGCACGUGUGUUGAACGCGGAGGCACCGUACUUUCGGUGCUUAGAUCGGAAUCAACCGCGAUCUGAAUCGCUACGAGUACGACUCCCUCAUCCGCGUUCUUGCAACGCUUCCGCAUCGCGAUCUACAAGGGUAUGUAGAUGCACUCCCCUUCCCUUCGUUGCUAGUAAACUCCAUAGAUUGAUCUUGGUGAUGCGUAGAAAAUUUUGAAUUUCUGCUACGUUCCCCAACAUUGAAAUAGUUUGCAAGAGUUAUAUAAAGAUAAUGCAUGUUAAAUUUCACACGUACCGACAAUAUAACACAGACACAAUUAUUUAAUAAUUAAAGUACAAUUUUGCAAUGUAAAUUGCCAAAAAGAAAAAUUAACGGCAUGUCCAUGUAACAAACUUAAUGGAGUUCCAACUAAACAUCUAUUAUAAAAUUAUUAAUAUCUAGGUUAUACGCUUAAGAAAUUCUUUCACAAUAUACGGAAAGUUGUCUUUAGCUUCAUUCCCACGAUGUUCUAGCAAGUAUAAUAAAAACUGCUUUCUCAACUCAUAUCCAUCCUGCACAAACAAUAUAUGUAGUUAGUAUGAAAAUAAGUAACAGACAAUACUCACCGCGCAAACCGGCUUGACCCGUUCCACCAGAGCAUAAAAUGAAUCAUCGCUAAUCAUAAUUCCCAUUAACAUCAACCAGUAUUCUUGGUGUUUAUUACUGUUAGUCAACUGGCAUUUCAAGUUUCAUUACUGCCUGAAAUGAAGGUUAUCACUCUAAAAUAGCAUGGUCAUAUUAGUGACCGUGCAAACUUCAAGAUUUAAAACCGAUAAGUAGGCCUUCAAAUUGGAAAGGGUGCACGUGCAGCGCACGUAAGUUUAGGAAUUUCUUCAUCAUUUUGAUUAUCUAAAUCAAUUUUUUUCAUAAUAGUUGUCACAAUAACAUGUUAUGUUUAACAAGAAUUGGUCUAAAUUGAAAUUUUAUAACAAUCCAAAGUCCAAUUUCGGCAAACAGCCUCCUCGCUAGCAAGAUGUGUCAGCACCAUCCAAUCGCCAUCUCGCAACUGUCAUCCUGGUGGUUUGGAUUUCUGAAUAUGUUUGUCUCUUUCCUGCCGCACGCAACACUUUAUCUCCAUGUCACGCCGAAUCUUCUUUUUGGGCUAUCAUCAGGGGAUUUUGUCUACCUAAAUAUAAUUACACACCAUGAAGACAAGCUCGAAUUGCUGGUGGCUUGGAUCGUCUCAACAACACCCAACCAAGAACCAACCGACCAGGCUCGAUCCUCUGCAAGGAGGGCAUACCAAAUCAUCUCCUUUUUUAUCAACACAGAUAGAAUGUUCAAAACAAUGCCAUCGUAAUCAACAUGGGCAAAACAUAGCAAAAAAUAAGGACAUGCUAUUGUUCUACGCGAGACAAUAAGCAACUUUAGCAUCCAGUGUCCCAUCAUCUACCAUGAAGAUUGGGAACUCCGUCGUUCCAAGAUAUGCUUCAAUAUUUCAAUAUUUCAAGAUUGGGAACUCAUUGCAUGUAACUUUUUUCUUGCUUGUUAGCAUAAAGCCAGACAUUGUCACCCCACAACAGAAAACAUUAAGGUUUCAAAACAAAAGAAAACAUUUGAACAAAAGAAAGUUAACAUAUAGCAGAUCUCAACCCAUCUUACAUCGCAAACUGUUAACCCCAAUAUUUCAUGAUCUGAAUGGGGGAAUUAAGGUUGGAUUUUGUCUCUGACGAAUCAGAUUUCUGGACAUUGUCAACAUCAAGAUUCCAUCGCAUGGUUUCAUAACAAUCAACCUGUACAUGGAUCUUUGAUUAAAUUCUAGCCACUACCAUGAAGCUCCCGGUCAGCAAGAGUUGUAUUUUUUUCUGUUUAAGCGGGCACCUAGUUUUUCUAAUACAUGGAUGUAAUUCUCCCCAUGUGGCUCAAAAGAAGCAUGAUGCCUGUGGGUUCCUGAACCUUGACCCAACGCCACCCAUUUAUUUGUGACAAUUUAUGCCCAAAUUUAUCUCAAACAAAAGGUAUGCCCAGAUCUGUAACACAAGCAGCUGAACAAUUUAAAAAUAUAAAUAUCCUAGCCUUCUUUUUCAUACGACUCAUGAGAUUCUACAGCAACAAAAAUGAUUUUACAUUGUUUUUCACACACACAUGAACCAGAGCUGCUAGGCAGCAAUAUUCCACCAUUUGACAAUAACUAUAACGAUAAAGAAUGACUACCAGACCAUAUCCUUUACUACAUAAUGGAAUACUAAUGUGCAAACAAAUGCCACCAUUGCUCCUGAAGUAUUCAUAUCAUCGAGUAAGAAUGGUUGCAUGUUUAUCACCUUUUCCAAUCCAAUGAAACUGAUGUUAUAACACAUUACACAUGCUAUGAAAGAAAUUGAUGAGAACAAUAUUACAUUUGCUCUUACUGCAAAUCAACACCAACAAAUCUAUAAUAGGUUCAUGCAUAAAGCAAGUGAAUUUGAAAAAGAAACCAGAACCUUAUUAAGUGAUCCUAAUUCCAUGCGAAGUUGCCUAGGAAAAAUAGAAGUGGAGGAUCAAGGUGGAUUCCAAAUAAUAGUAAUAUAAUACUCCUUCAAGGUAAAAAAAUGAAAUCUAGUGGGUACAAGCAUUUUGAAUAAUAAACAAAAUUAAGAUCUAACUAUAUACGUGCAAUACAUGUUUCUAAAAUUCAAAGUAUGUAUGAAUAUAUGUAAAUAAAAGUUUUGCUUAGGUCAUAAUUUUUCAUACUUCACAAUCAUCUUAUCCUGUCAAAUCAUUGGUGCACAUCCCCAUUGUGCAGGAUUUUUUUGGAACUUCCUAUCUCCACUUACAUCAUGGAUAGCAUACAGCAAAGGUUAAUUAAAAUUCAAUAGACUUCUAUGAGAUGACAUGAGUGACGAUCGGUGCAGGUUUAUGGCAUUGAGCAUCAUCUACUAACCCUUCAAAAUGAUGAUUUUCAUUUGGACCAAGUACAUCUCAAGCUGCAAGCACAAUAAAAUCACCAUGGGCUUGGAGCCCACCAUAUCUCCACGUUCCUGCAUGUGAAGAAUUAACCAGUGCCCCAAGUCAGAACUACUGCUAACCUCAUUCAUGUAGACCUUACUAAAAAUUCAGAAAAUAUGCAGAGUAUCCAUUUUUGUUAACCUAGCUAUCUGCAGUCCAAGACAGAGCGUGACCAUAAUCCACACUACAACACAUGAAUAUAGCUACCUUAUGGGGCAUAUAUGCCUAAUCCUCAUAUCUUGUUGUUUGGAAAAGAGUUGACCAUUUGCACAUAGUAUAGAAUGGCGAAGAUUGAACAUGCUCUCGUACAAUUGGGGAAUGGUGUGGAGCUCCAUAAGCGACGGCGGCGAUGCCGGCUACAGUUGUUCUGACAGGAACUAAUUUGCUUACUCUUCGUUUUCAGUUAACCACAUAGUACUACACUGCCAUAUACAAAAUCAGGAGAGGAAGGUACCUUCUGUACGCCCACUGCACGGGAGAGUUUUGUGGCGGACUGUAUACCUGGACGCGAUAAUCUUGUUUCGGAGGAGCGCCCAACUGCGGCAUGGAGGUCAGAGAGGGGUGAGAGCCGGACCAGUGUGAUUCACACAGUGCAAACCUGAUAAACAAAACGCAAAAGUCCAGCACCUGGUUUACUGCAAGGAGCUCGCUGGUGUCCAGAUUCAACCUGAGGUAGACUUGCCCAUUAUCUCGCCCUUCCGCCAUCGGAUCGGCGGGAUGUCCCCUGCUCAGCCGCUCCCGUCGACAGGUACGGCCGUCCGCGACUGCAGGCGUUGUGGCGGCGAGGGACUCUUGGAGAUGCGAUCGAGCAGCCUACCCCUUGACUUGCAGAGGCAGGAGCUGAUAUGGACGCCGAUCCCACUCAGGGGCCCGGCGGAGUGCUGGUGCAGACUUGAUGAUUCGACACAUGAAGUCGAAUAGAUCAUGGAACCCGGCACCGCCGCCGGCAUCAGCGGGGUCCCGUCGCAUGGGUCGUGGUCUAGGCUCGGGGCUCGUGUCGACGGCGGCAUGGAGGUAAGAGAGGUGAGAGCCUGCUGGCCGUGCCCUUCCUCCCCUCCCUUCCUUCUGUUCUCCCUGGAACCGCAGCAGGCCAUGGAGGAGCUCAGCCGCCGCCGUCGUCCCUCCGACUCUCGCCGGAGCCGUCCGUCGUCGACCCGAUCCUGCUGCCAUCCGCCAGAUCCACAGCAGCCCCGCCGGAGCCCACAACUUGGCCAUCACCAUUCCCUCGAGAUGUCGCCGCCUCCCCGUGUUGACCGCGUCGCUCACCUGCAUUCAGGGAUCUUUCGAUAUCGGAUUGUGUUUUCCUUUCCUUGGAUUAGGAAACGAUGUACCGGGGUCGACGCGGGGCGCGCGGAACGUUUGGUACGGCAGAGUUUUCGUCCGCCCAGGUAAAUUGCUAAGCGCGUUUUUGGCUCUGGAUUAGAUUAAAUUAAGUGAUUCUGAUCGUGUGGUUAUAAUUGAGCUAUGUUGUUAUGUGUACGUUAGGCUGGGUACACUUAGCAAUGUACAUGUUUUCUUCUUUAAUAAGUAGUAGAGAUGGUUUACCUAUGAAUUUCUUUAAAUCCAUUAUUUGUUUCCUCAAAAUCUAUUAUUUAUUUCCUAAAGCAAAUUGCAUUAAUGAGAGAAAUUCACUGAUUUGGUUAAGGUAGGAAAGAAUCUAUUAUUUGUUUCCUAAAGCAAAUUCCAUUAAUGGAAGAGAUCCGUUGAUUUGGCUAAGGUAGGAAAGAAUCUAUCAUUUGUUUCCUAAAGCAAAUUGCAUUUAUGAAAGAGAUUCGUUGAUUUGGCUAAGCUAGGAAAGUUAGAUCCGUGAUCUUUUGUCAUUAGGAAAGUGUUGAAAAUAAACCGUAUUAAAUCCAUUAUUUGUUUCCUGAAAAUCUAUUAUUUAUUUCCUAAAGCAAAUUGCAUUAAUGAGAGAAAUUCACUGAUUUGGUUAAGGUAGGAAAGAAUCUAUUAUUUGUUUCCUAAAGCAAAUUCCAUUAAUGGAAGAGAUCCAUUGAUUUGGCUAAGGUAGGAAAGAAUCUAUUAUUUCUUUCCUAAAGCAAAUUGCAUUUAUGAAAGAGAUUCGUUGAUUUGGCUAAGCUAGGAAAGUUAGAUCCGUGAUCUUUUGUCAUUAGGAAAGUGUUGAAAAUAAACCGUACCGGACUACCAACUCCUCCAUUAGGUUUUUUUUCGCUGGUUAAUCUUGGUAGGUCUUUUUUCGUUGGUUAACCUUCGUAGGUCUAUUUUUUGGUACGUGGAUGGGUGCGUGUUGGGGCCUCAGGAGGAGGUUUUUUCAGUUUCUGGUGGAUAAGUAAGAGGUGGGAGUGAGGACGAAAAAAAACCGGACGAAAAUGGUGGGACGAAAAUAAACCCGGAACGGAGACUACCAACUGCUCCAUUAGGAGUAGAGACUCCCUAGUCCUAGUAGGAUUCCACCUCCCAUAUGGAAUAGGAAAAGAGGAAGGGAAAAAGAGAAGGAAGGAAGGGGCGCAACGCCUUCCCUAGUCCAAUUCGGACCAGAGGAGGGGUGCGGCCACCCUUGAGGCCCUUUUUCUUCUUUCCCGUAUGGCCCAAUAAGGCCCAAUACGUAUUCCCGUAACUCUCCGGUACUCCGAAAAAUACCCGAUCACUCGGAACCUUUCCGAAGUCUGAAUAUAGUCGUCCAAUAUAUCGAUCUUUACGUCUCGGCCAUUUCGAGACUCCUCGUCAUGUCCCCGAUCUCAUCCGGGACUCCGAACUCCUUCGGUACAUCAAAACUCAAUAAAACUGUCAUCGUAACGUUAAGCGUGCGGACCCUACGGGUUCGAGAACUAUGUAGACAUGACCGAGACACGUCUCCGGUCAAUAACCAAUAGCGGGACCUGGAUGCCCAUAUUGGCUCCCACAUAUUCUACGAAGAUCUUUAUCGGUCAGACCGCAUAACAACAUACGUUGUUCCCUUUGUCACCGGUAUGUUACUUGCCCGGGAUUUGAUCGUCGGUAUCUCGAUACCUAGUUCAAUCUCGUUACCGGCAAGUCUCUUUACUCGUUCCGUAACACAUCAUCCCGCAACUAACUUAUUAGUCACAAUGCUUGCAAGGCUUAUACUGAUGUGCAUUACCGAGUGGGCCCAGAGAUACCUCUCCGACAAUCGGAGUGACAAAUCCUAAUCUCGAAAUACGCCAACCCAACAAGUACCUUUGGAGACACCUGUAGAGCACCUUUAUAAUCACCCACUUACGUUGUGACGUUUGGUAGCACACAAAGUGUUCCUCCGGUAAACGGGAGUUGCAUAAUCUCAUAGUCAUAGGAACAUGUAUAUGUCAUGAAGAAAGCAAUAGCAACAUACUAAACGAUCGAGUGCUAAGCUAACGGAAUGGGUCAAGUCAAUCACAUCAUUCUCCUAAUGAGGUGAUCUCGUUAAUCAAAUGACAACUUAUAUCUAUGGCUAGGAAACAUAACCAUCUUUGAUUAACGAGCUAGUCAAGUAGAGGCAUACUAGUGACACUCUGUUUGUCUAUAUAUUCACACAUGUAUUAUGUUUCCGGUUAAUACAAUUCUAGCAUGAAUAAUAAACAUUUAUCAUGAUACAAGGAAAUAAAUAAUACUUUAUUAUUGCCUCUAGGGCAUAUUUCCUUCAGUCUCCCACUUGCACUAGAGUCAAUAAUCUAGUUCACAUCGCCAUGUGAUUUAACAUUAAUAAUUCACAUCACCAUGUGAUUAACACCCAUAGUUCACAUCUCUAUGUGACCAACACUCAAAGGGUUUACUAGAGUCAAUAAUCUAGUUCACAUCGCUAUGUGAUUAACACCCAAAGAGUACUAAGGUGUGAUCAUGUUUUGAUUGUGAGAUAAUUUUAGUCAACGGGUCUGUCAUAUUCAGAUCCGUAAGUAUUUUGCAAAUUUCUAUGUCUACAAUGCUCUGCACGGAGCUACUCUUAGCUAAUUGCUCCCACUUUCAAUAUGUAUCUAGACCGAGACUUAGAGUCAUCUAGAUUAGUGUCAAAAACUUGCAUUGACGUAACCCUUUACGACGAACCUUUUGUCACUUCCAUAAUCGAGAAACAUAUCCUUAUUCCACUAAGGAUAAUUUUGACCGCUGUCCAGUGAUCUACUCCUAGAUCACUAUUGUACUCCCUUGCCAAAAUCAGUGUAGGGUAUACAAUAGAUCUGGUACACAGCAUGGCAUACUUUAUAGAAUCUAUGGCCAAGGCAUAGGGAAUGACUUUCAUUCUAUUUCUAUCUUCUGCCGUGGUCGGGUUUUGAGUCUUACUCAAUUUCACACCUUGUAAUACAGGCAAGAACUCUUUCUUUGACUGUUCUAUUUUGAACUACUUCAAAAUCUUGUUAAGGUAUGUACUCAUUGAAUAAACUUAUCAAGCGUCUUGAUCUAUCUCUAUAGAUCUUGAUGCUCAAUAUGUAAGCAGCUUCACCGAGGUCUUGCUUUGAAAAACUUCUUUCAAACACUCCUUUAUGCUUUGCAGAAUAAUUCUACAUUAUUUCCGAUCAACAAUAUGUCAUUCACAUAUACUUAUCAGAAAUGUUGUAGUGCUCCCACUCACUUUCUUGUAAAUACAGGCUUCACCGCAAGUCUGUAUAAAACUAUAUCCUUUGAUCAACUUAUCAAAGUGUAUAUUCCAACUCUGAGAUGCUUGCACCAGUCCAUAGAUGGAUCCCUAGAGAUUGCAUAUUUUGUUAGCACUUUUAGGAUUGACAAAACUUCCUGGUUGCAUCAUAUACAACUCUUCUUUAAUAAAUCCAUUAAGGAAUGCAGUUUUGUUUAUCCAUUUGCCAUAUUUCAUAAAAUGCGGCAAUUGCUAACAUGAUUCAGACAGACUUAAGCAUAGAUACGAGUGAGAAACUCUUAUCGUAGUCAACACCUUGAACUUGUCGAAAAACCCUUUUUGUGACAAUUCUAGCUUUGUAGAUAGUAACACUACUAUCAGCGUCCGUCUUCCUCUUGACGAUCCAUUUAUUCUCAAUUGCUUGCCGAUCAUCGGGCAAGUCAACCAAAGUCCACAUUUUGUUCUCAUACAUGGAUCUCAUCUCAGAUUUCAUGGCCUCAAGCCAUUUUGCGGAAUCUGGGCUCACCAUCGCUUCUUCAUAGUUCGUAGGUUCGUCAUGGUCUAGUAACAUAACCUCCAGAACAGGAUUACCGUACCACUCUGGUGCAGAUCUUACUCUGGUUUACCUACGAGGUUUGGUAGUAACUUGAUCUGAAGUUACAUGAUCAUCAUCAUUAACUUCCUCACUAAUUGGUGUAUAAGUCAUAGGAACAGAUUUCUGUGAUGAACUACCUUCCAAUAAGGGAGCAGGUACAGUUACCUCAUCAAGUUCUACUUUCCUCCCACUCACUUCUUUCGAGAGAAACUCCUUCUCUAGAAAGGAUCCAUAUUAAGCAACGAAUGUCUUGCCUCCGGAUCUAUGAUAGAAGGUGUACCCAACUGUCUCCUUUGGGUAUCCUAUGAAGACAUAUUUCUCCGAUUUGGGUUUGAGCUUAUCAGGAUGAAACUUUUUCACAUAAGCAUCGCAACCCCAAAUUUUAAGAAACGACAACUUUGGUUUCUUGCCAAACCACAGUUCAUAAGGCGUCGUCUCAACGGAUUUCGAUGGUGCCCUAUUUAACGUGAAUGCAGCUGUCUCUAAUGCAUAACCCCAAAACGAUAGUGGUAGAUCGAUAAGAUACAUCAUAUAUCGCACCAUAUCUAAUAAAGCACGAUUACGACGUUCGGACACACCAUUACACCGUGGUGUUCCAGGUGGCGUGAGUAGUGAAACUAUUUCACAUUGUUUUAACUGAAGGCCAAACUCGUAACUCAAAUACUCUUCUCCAUGAUCAUAUCGUAGAAACUUUAAAUUUCUUGUUACGAUGAUUUUCCGCUUCACUCUGAAAUUAUAUGAACUUUUCAAAUGUUUCAGACUUCUGUUUCAUUAAGUAGAUAUACCCAUAUCUGCUCAAAUCAUCUGUGAAGGUCAGAAAAUAAUGAUACCCGCUACGAGCCUCAGUAUUCAUCGGACCACAUACAUCUGUAUGUAUGAUUUCCAACAAAUCUGUUGCUCUCUCCAUAGUUCCGGAGAACGGUGUUUUAGUCAUCUUGCCCAUGAGGCACGGUUCGCAAGCAUCAAGUGAUUCCAAAAUCCCAUCAGUAUGGAGUUUCUUCAUGCGCUUUACACCAAUAUGACCUAAACGGCAGUGCCACAAAUAAGUUGCACUAUCAUUAUUAACUUUGCAUCUUUUGGCUUCAUUAUUAUGAAUAUGUGUAUCACUACGAUCGAGAUCCAACAAACCAUUUUCGUUGGUGUGUAUGACCAUAGAAGGUUUUAUUCAUGUAAACAGAACAACAAUUGUUCUCUAACUUAAAUGAAUAACCGUAUUGCAAUAAACAUGAUCAAAUCAUAUUCAUGCUCAACGCAAACACCAAAUAACACUUAUUUAGUUUCAACACUAAUCCCGAAAGUAUAGGGAGUGUGCGAUGAUGAUCAUAUCAAUCUUGGAACUACUUCCAACACACAUCGUCACCUCGCCUUUUACUAGUCUCUGUUUAUUCUGGAACUCCCGUUUUCGAGUUACUACUCUUUAGCAACUGAACCAGUAUUAAAUACUGAGGGGUUGCUAUAAACACUAGUAAGUACACAUCAAUAACAUGUAUAUCCAAUAUACCUUUGUUCACUUUGCCAUCCUUCUUAUCCACCAAAUACUUGGGGCAGUUCCACCUCCAGUGACCAGUCCCUUUGCAGUAGAAGCACUUAGUCUCAGGCUUAGGUACAGACUUGGGCUUCUUCACUUGAGUAGCAACUUGCUUGCCGUUCUUUUUUUUGAAGUUCCCCUUCUUCCCUUUGCCCUUUUCUCGAAACUAGUGGUCUCGUCAACCAUCAACACUUGAUGUUUUUCUUGAUUUCUACCUUCGUCGAUUUCAGCAUCACGAAGAGCUCGGGAAUUACUUUCGUCAUCCCUUGCAUACUAUAGUUCAUCACGAAGUUCUACUAACUUGGUGAUGGUGACUAGAGAAUUCUGUCAAUCACUUAUUUUAUCUGGAAGAUUAACUCCCACUUGAAUCAAGCGAUUGUAGUACCCAGACAAUCUGAGCACAUGCUCACUAGUUGAGCGAUUCUCCUCCAUCUUUUAGCUAUAGAACUUGUUGGAGACUUCAUAUCUCUCAACUCGGGUAUUUGCUUGAAAUAUUAACUUCAACUCCUGGAACAUCUCAUAUGGUCCAUGACGUUCAAAACGUCUUUGAAAUCCCGAUUCUAAGCCGUUAAGCAUGGUGCACUAAACUAUCAAGUAGUCAUCAUAUUGAGCUAGUCAAACGUUCAUAACGUCUGCAUCUGCUCCUGCAAUUGGUCUGUCACCUAGCAGUGCAUCAAGGACAUAAUUUUUCUGUGCAGCAAUGAGGAUACUCCUCAGAUCACGGAUCCAAUCCGCAUCUUUGCUACUAACAUCUUUCAACAUAAUUUUCUCUAGGAAUCAUAUCAAAAAUAAACACAGGGAAGCAACAACGCGAGCUAUUGAUCUACAACAUAAUUUGCAAAAUACUAUCAAGACUAAGUUCAUGAUAAAUUUAAGUUCAAUUAAUCAUAUUACUUAAGAACUCCCACUUAGAUAGACAUCCCUCUAAUCCUCUAAGUGAUCACGUGAUCCAUAUCAACUAAACCAUGUCCGAUCAUCACGUGAGAUGGAGUAGUUUCAACGGUGAACAUCACUAUGUUGAUCAUAUCUACUAUAUGAUUCACGCUCGAACUUUCGGUCUCCGUGUUUCGAGGCCAUAUCUGUUAUAUGCUAGGCUCGUCAAGUUUAACCGGAGUAUUCCGCGUGUGCAACAGUUUUGCACCCGUUGUAUUUGAACGUAGAGCCUAUCACACCCGAUCAUCACGUGGUGUCUCAGCACGAAGAACUUUCGCAACGGUGCAUACUCAGGGAGAACACUUAUACUUUGAUAAUUUAGUGAAGGAUCAUCUUCUAAUGCUACCGUCAAACAAAGCAAGAUAAGAUGCAUAAAGGAUUAACAUCACAUGCAAUCAAUAUAAGUGAUAUGAUAUGGCCAUCAUCAUCUUGUGCUUGUGAUCUCCAUCUCCGAAACACCGUGCUUGUGAUCUCCAUCUCCGAAGCACCGUCAUGAUCACCAUCGUCACCGG
Molecule: long non-coding RNA, 34870 nt
Filed under: Triticum aestivum (bread wheat)
Lineage: Eukaryota; Viridiplantae; Streptophyta; Magnoliopsida; Poales; Poaceae
Description: long non-coding RNA (TAES_LNC009069)
Source: RNAcentral